AGCUCCUCUCUGUUGAGGGAGAAGAGCUGAGCUCCGGUGAGGAUGCCCAGGUGUUCCACGGUCCUGGGGAGACACAGAGUGGGAGAUGAUGAUCCUGCUGCACAUGGCCUUGUGCCAGAGGUGAGAUGGUGCCAGCAGCCUCCCCAACUCCUUCUCCAGGGAAGGAUGAGCAUUUCAUGUGGCAAUAGAGCAAAUCUUACUCUUUGCUGAAUGACUUGGCUUCCAGCCAGGCUUUGACUUCUUCAGUGCUGGAUUCAAAGGUGAGGGGCACAAAAACUUGCUGAGGCUUUUCCACUUUGAAAUUCCUGUGGGGAGGCUGAAUUUUAUUGUUUGUGAUUUUCUUUAGCAGCUCGUCGUUCAGCUCAUCCAUUUGGUGAAUAAGUUCUGCAGAAACAGGGAAUGAAAUCAAAUCUUCAGUCAGAAAUCCCGUUAAAUGUGUUUGUGGGGAAAUUGUAAGGAAAACAGGGAUGAGGUUCAGCAUUUUUACUAAGUCUGUAAAUAUAGCCCAGGAAAGGGCUUAUUUUUGUAUUUUAGUCUAAAGAACAAGCUCAGGUGCUCUGUUGGAGCAAUAGGGUGAGUAAUGAUGUUUGGACCUUCAGAAUACCAUCAGGAACAAAUGUGUGCAGGGAGAUCUCUGUGGUUUUGGAGGCUGGAGGGCCCUAGAGGGGAGUGGGGUAUCUCCACUUUCCCUCUGAGCCAAAAUUCUCCCUUCAGCUUUUGAAACCUCACUUUCUCUUUGGGAGAAACUGAUUUCUGCAGUUCUUCUGCAGGAUGAAGGAGAGGAGGGAUCACGGAAUCCUAGCUGAGGGAUCUAAAAAGCUGCUUUAUGGUUUCUUGCAGUGUGACGGGGGAGAGAAUCUCACUUUCACUUGUUUUGUGAACAAAGUUACAGUGGGACCAGUUGUUUCUCAUGUUUCAGGGUGGUUCUCAACUCACCCUGUUCCUCCUGCCCCAUUCAAAGGACAUAAAACCCCUCAACACCCACCAGCUCCUCCUCCAGGUGUGUUCAGGGGUGUAACCUGAUCUGGCAGAGUCCUUGCUCCCAGUGGUGCUCUCAAGUGGUGACAAGGGACAAGGUCCCAUUCCCUGAGGGUUGAUGUUGGUAUUGGGGUUCUGCUUCAGCUUGUCAUCUUCCUGGGUUUGAGUUAUUUAGUUCCCUUUGGGCUGGUGAAAUAAGGGAACUGCCCUGCAAACUUCACAGCAAGAGGGGAAACUCCCAGCGCCCAUGAGGCAGCAGAGGUUGGGGGAGGAUUCUGUGUUUCUGAGAACCAUGUUCCCAUUUUCCUGUGCCCCUGUGUGGCCAUUUAUUUUUCUCCCAUCACCCCUUGGCUAUUGCCUGAUGUGGAAGGACAGAUCUGUGAGGAUCUAGAAUUGGAGAGUUGGGAUUGAGACCUUUUCAGUCCUCUCUGCUACUUGUAGUCAGGGAUUUGCUGAUCCCAGAGCUCCAGGUUUUGCUCCACAGCAGAACAGAAGUGGCAGGAAGCACAAACUGGGAGUGAGGAACACACUCAUGAUGAGAUGAGCUUAAAGGUCCCUGUGAUUCUGGGAAAACUACAGUGACACUUCAUCCAGUGUCACUUUCCCCAUGAAACUCCUGAGGACUGUGGAGAAUAACUCAGUGUUAUGAACAGAUUCGUGUCCAGCAGGGGAUGAGCAGGGAAUUGCUGUCCUCCCUCCUCACCGUGGUUAAGAUGGGACCAAUGUGUUUGAGCUGAGGAGGUGACCCAGCCCAGCACAGACAGCCUGUUCCAGCUUUGGAUUGGAGCAAAGGCCUGUGUCACUGCUAAGACACCACCAGGGAAAAAAGAGUUGGUGUUGGCUGCUAUGCUGAGCUCUCUUCUGCCCCUGGGAAGGGGAGGGGACACACCUUUUCCCAGGAGUGGUCACGUACCUCCAGGAUUUCAUCCUUCAGCACCGAGAGCUCGUUGGCGUUUCGUGCAGUGAAAUCGUAGCGGAUUUUGGCAAAUCUCCUGGGCACAGCCACUCCCUGGGCCUCGAAAUUCCUGCAGGAGAGAAAACCUGGAGUUUUAGUGGAGGCCCAUCUGAUAAUGGAACCAAAUGUGGGUUCACUGGUGGAACAAGAGUGAUGCUGGCUGGGAGUUUGCAUUUGGAGAGGCAGAGUCCCUCUGCUCCUCUUUUGAGGAAGAUUUUCAGCCCUUGUUUCAGUGAAAUCCCUUGGGGCUGGGAACAAGCAAGCAAGCCAAAGCUGUUGGGGUUUGAUAUGGGCCUUCCUGGGGGGCUGUGAGGCAGCUCCUGGAAGGGUGGAAGGAAGUGCUGCUUUAGGGCCUGGGGGGGCUGACACAGCAGGCUCCGAUUGCAGGUGCUGGGAAAGAUGAGGUGUGAAACCCUCCCUGUCCUGCCCAGUGGAAACAACUGCUCCAGAUGCCACAGCAGGGAGCAGCUGGGGGAAGAGGAAUUGAAAAUCCAAGCAGGCAGAACCCACUGGAAAUCUGUGGGGUUUUUAUCAGGCAAUGCUGAGCUGAAUUCCAUAAGUUCCCAGGAAAAAUGAGUUUGGAUGUUUCUAUGCUAAGAUGUAUUUGGGCACAGGGGAAGAGAAAUGCAUUUAUGUGUUAGCUUGGGACACCAGAAUAUACGGUUUUCAAAGCUGAAUUGGCUUUUUGUUUGAAGAGAGACAAAAUGAAUAUGGUAGACUGUUGAAAAUGGUGAAAAAGUGGAAUGAAAGGUUCUUUUUUACCCAAACUGAAAAGUUUUGCUUUGUUUUGUUUUGUUUUGUGUUGCCUGGCUUAGGGAAAUUUAGCAGAUCUCAUCUUUUUCUUCUCCAGCUGAGUGAAGUGCUAUCUUUUUAAUGAAAAAAAGCCUUAGCUGUAUGGAAAAUCAGUCUUGCCUUGUGAAAGGACAGGUAGGAACAAUUUUAAUGCACUUCCCAGGGAUCUUUUUGCUUAUGAAAUGUAACCUGCAUAGAUACCUGAUGCCAUAUUCACAGUGGCUCAGGUUCUCCUUCAGCUUAGGUUGAGCUGUUGUAACUCAGGGCAGCCAGGGCUUCCAGCACUGCCAGCAGCUCUGUUUUCCCCUUUCUGGCUUUGGCCAGUGGUUUGAAAUCCAUGUACUGGGGAAGCUCAGUUCUUUGUGAACCUGUAAAACCUGGCAUUGGAAAUUGAGCCCCUUAUGCUUAGUUUAAUUUAAUUUUCCUGCCCUCAUUAGCUGUGUUAGGUGGUCAGAAGGAGCUUGAAACCACUAAUUUAGUGCUGGAUACCACAACAAUGGUUGCAGGGUUGUCUUUAGCUCACGUGCUUUGGGACAGCUUCUGGUCUGGUUAUACCCCUGUGGAACAUUUCAGUUGUAAUUCCACGGUGGGGGAGAGCUUGGAGGAGUCAAGCUGAAUCCAGCAGGCCAAGAAGGGAGAGCUGCCUUUGCCCAGCAGUGCCCUGAAGGCCAGGAGGGGAAGGGAAUCCCAGGUAGGUUGGAAUUCCUUCUUCUGUCAGGAGGAAGGAGUUUGAGGCCGGUGUGUGCUUUGUGUGCACCUGGACUGUGCAAGGGGACCUGUGCUGAAGGUUGUGCUCCUGCUGGGGCUUUCAGGGCACUUCUCUGCAGCCAAGAGCCGAGGUGUAAAUAACUGUAGUACUGAGGGGUGGCUCUUUGUGCUAAUUUGGGGUCUUCUGGCUGGAAAACUUGUUCAGGCUACUCUGAAAAGAGCAAGAGCACAGCAGGAAAAAUGUCUGUCCCGGGGCUGUUGUCCUGGCAGAUUAACAAUUCACUUGCAAGUUUCCUCUCCUCUCCCUCUCCCUCCCACAGCGGACACGGGCGGGACCCGGACCCAAAGUCCCGGUCUCAGGGCCGGGAGCAGCCCCGGUUCGGCCCAGCUGUGAGGGGCGGACCCGACCCAGGCCCCACUUGUGAGUUAUUAAAUCCUUCACCACUGGACUUUGGGCAGAGGAAGAGAAGGAUUUGUUCCACACAGGUGUCAUCCAACGGGGAACAGCCCCUGUGCCAACCCAGCCUGGGCAGAGCACGCUGCCUCACUCCCCCAUUCUGCACCCUGGCUCCACUGCAGCCUGAGUUUUCCCCCAUUUUCCAUGUCUAGAAAGAGGAAAUUGUCCUGGUCAGGGUGUAAGACCUUAAACUGCACAUUGAUCUGGGGGCUGUGACUGGAUUCCAGCAGGGAAUUCACGGUUCUACAAAUAAAAACUGUUCCAGAGAGCA
Haemorhous mexicanus (house finch) is the source of this 4161-nucleotide long non-coding RNA. RefSeq lists it as uncharacterized. The transcript is spliced from 3 exons. The record is from RefSeq and is a predicted model, not a curated record. NCBI's taxonomy places the organism in Eukaryota, Metazoa, Chordata, Aves, Passeriformes, Fringillidae.